AGCGAACGCUGGCGGCAGGCUUAACACAUGCAAGUCGAACGAACUCUUCGGAGUUAGUGGCGGACGGCUGAGGACCACGGGGGAACGUGCCUUUUGGUUCGGUACACUUCAGGUUAACUUGAGCUAAUACCGCAUGUGCCCUUCGCGGGUAAGAUCUAUCGCCAUUAGAGCGGCGCGCGUCUGAUUAGCUAGUUGGUGAGGUAACGGCUGACCAAGGCGACGAUGAGUGGCUGGUCGGAGAACAGGACCUGCCACACUGGGACUGAGGCACGGCCCAGACUCGGACGGAGGGCAGCGGAAGGGAGUCUUGCGGAAUGAGGGAAAGUCUGACACAGCCGUGCCGGGGGAAUGAUGAAGGUCGUAGGAUUGUAAAAUUCUUUCAGCGGGGACGUGAGUGACGGUACCCGGAGAAGAAGCACCGGCUAACUACGUG
Molecule: ribosomal RNA, 433 nt
Filed under: uncultured bacterium
Lineage: Bacteria
Description: partial 16S ribosomal RNA
Rfam family: Bacterial small subunit ribosomal RNA
Source: RNAcentral